CGCGAAUCGCCCUUCGGGGUGCAGCAGGCGCGAAAACUUUACAAUGCUGGCAACAGCGAUAAGGGGACCUUGAGUGCCAGGAUACAAUCCUGGCUGUCGUGAUGCCUAAAAAGCAUUAUAUAGCAAGGGCCGGGCAAGACCGGUGCCAGCCGCCGCGGUAACACCGGCGGCUCGAGUGGUAACCGCUAUUAUUGGGUCUAAAGGGUCUGUAGCCGGCUUGGUUAGUCUCUUGGGAAAUCCGGCAGCUUAACUGUCGGGCUUUCAGGAGAUACUGCCAGGCUCGAGACCGGGAGAGGUGAGAGGUACUUCAUGGGUAGGGGUGAAAUCUUGUAAUCCUUGAAGGACCACCAGUGGCGAAGGCGUCUCACCAGAACGGAUCUGACGGCAAGGGACGAAAGCUAGGGGCACGAACCGGAUUAGAUACCCGGGUAGUCCUAGCCGUAAACGAUACUCGCUAGGUGUCGGCCACGGUGCGACCGUGGUCGGUGCCGUAGGGAAGCCGUGAAGCGAGCCACCUGGGAAGUACGGCCGCAAGGCUGAAACUUAAAGGAAUUGGCGGGGGAGCAC
This 567-nucleotide ribosomal RNA is filed under the name uncultured archaeon. RNAcentral describes it as "bacterial SSU rRNA". It matches the Rfam family "Archaeal small subunit ribosomal RNA", at positions 312 to 879 of the family's 1478-position model. The record is from RNAcentral.